RNAcentral lists this RNase P RNA (374 nucleotides) under Candidatus Omnitrophota bacterium. RNAcentral describes it as "RNase P RNA component class A". It matches the Rfam family "Bacterial RNase P class A". From Rfam's summary of the family: Ribonuclease P (RNase P) is a ubiquitous endoribonuclease, found in archaea, bacteria and eukarya as well as chloroplasts and mitochondria. Its best characterised activity is the generation of mature 5'-ends of tRNAs by cleaving the 5'-leader elements of precursor-tRNAs. Lineage: Bacteria; Pseudomonadati; Candidatus Omnitrophota. The record is from RNAcentral.
ACAGGCAGGAUGUGGUCGCCCGUCAGGAGGUUUCUGACGGGAGGAAAGUCCGAGCUCCAGAGGACAGCGUAGUGGGUAAUCCCCACCUCCUGGUAUUUUAAGCCAGGACGGAUUCUGUAGAAAUACAGACUCACCAAAUAAUCUUGGUGAGAGAGCCACAGAGACGAGCUCCUCGACGGAAUCGUCGGGGAGGUGAAACGCGGCAAUCUCUACGCGGAGCAAGGCAGAAUAGGAGGCGAGGCACUGGUCCGGUGCGUGAUGAGCCUCGGGUAAGCUGCUGGAGUUCCGGCGGUAACGUCGGAAUCGAGAGAAAUGACCGCUACAGGUGUUAAGUUCACCUAGAAAACAGAACUCGGCUUAUCCUGCCUGUGCGC